RNAcentral lists this transfer RNA (87 nucleotides) under Nitrospirota bacterium. Its description in RNAcentral is "Nitrospirae bacterium (sediment metagenome) tRNA-Ser". It matches the Rfam family "tRNA". Rfam says of the family: Transfer RNA (tRNA) molecules are approximately 80 nucleotides in length. Lineage: Bacteria; Pseudomonadati; Nitrospirota. The record is from RNAcentral.
GGAGGAUUUGGCGAAUUGGUACGCCAUCCCGUUUGAGGCGGGACAAGCCGAAAGGCUAUGGGAGUUCGAGUCUCUCAUCCUCCGCCA